Molecule: long non-coding RNA, 4850 nt
Organism: Dromaius novaehollandiae (emu)
Lineage: Eukaryota; Metazoa; Chordata; Aves; Casuariiformes; Dromaiidae
Exons: 14
Source: RefSeq, a predicted model, not a curated record
ACCUGUUGGCGGUGGCGGAGGGGGGAACAAGGCUGCUUCAGCGAUCAAUCUGUGGGACCUCAGAGCUCAGCAAAGGUGAAACGAAAUACGAAAAUUGCAGUGCAGCAGAAGAGGAGUCAGCUAUCUGAGGGCCUCUGCUGAAAUCCCAUCUUUCGGGUGACGUGGGAUUUCUCACCUUCUGAAAAUCCUGCCUGUGCUGCUGCUUUGUUUGACUGGUUUCUCAAGUCCGUACCAUAACUUCCUGAUUUGCUGUGGAAGGAUUGCUAUCACAGCUCAUCUGCACUAUCAAAUAAAGAGCUGUUGAACAUGUUCACUGAAGAAAGCCCCCAGGCAGCUGUAACUUCCUCAGCUGGCGUUUAUUUGCCAGAAAAACCAAGGCGUCAGUGAAUUUACCAGUGCUUCAGGAAGCAUCCACCCACAAGAUCGCUCUGCCUGAACUCAGCCCUCUGAGGAGCUGAGCUCCUUCAAUUCCUCUUGAAGUCAGUGGGUGUUGAGGUGCUGAGCACCUAACAAGGUUGAGGCCAUAGCUCGGGGUGUCUGCAUCCUGGUUUUGACCUGCAGAUUUGUGUCUCAGUGUCUGCUGAUUGCCGAAGUGACAGCAUGAAAUACAGCGAUGAAAAUUCAGCGAGGAGGCCUAUGUGAGAAGUGCUGGAGCUAUCUCAGGUAGCAGCUGAUACCAGGUGGUGACUACAUCGCUUGUGGAACCCAAGAGGCGUGCUGAGAUUCUGACCCAGCAGACCACUGCCCGCUCCGGCUCCAAGCUCUCGCGGCAUCUGCAGCCUCCUCCUUUCCCACAGGCUCAACCUGCCAAACACGGGCAUUUCCCAGGCUAAGGCUACGUCAACAGAUCAAGAUAAGUAAAAGGAGGCCAAAGGCACAGCAAGAAAUCCUGGAAUUUGAAUCCCUCCUUCCAACAAAGGCACCAGACGAGGGAGCAGCCGCUAUGGAAGAUGACUACCAAGAGCUCACAGACCCUUGCAGAUUCCCCGGUAGAAGUGCCGCCACUGCUUAACAAUCUCAAACCUGUGGUCAAUGGCUUGCUGGUCUCCAUUUGUGCACCCUUAGAAGUGGUCUGUGAAACUCCAGGUGACUGCAGACAUCUAGAAAAACCCUGAUUCUCGGAAUGAACAUUUAGAAAAGAAAAGAGAGCCUGAUACUGGAGCUCAGCAGGAGUGCAAGAAGAGGACCUCGCUUUGGUUGGGAUCUGUGGACAGUCUUCCAGCUGUAAGAGGGACAGCAGUAUGCUGUUGGUGGUAUGGGAGGGGUGCUUUGCCUCUCAGAGACCUGAUGUCCUGGUUCAUUAAGAUUGAGGGGGAAAAGUGAAAUUCUGAAACCUCUUGCAAGCCUGGAAAACAAUUUUCCACCAAGCUCUCCUCAGAUGAGAUUGCAGAAAUUCUCUUCUGUUUUCUCCUUCAUCCCUGGCUCCCUUAACAUGCAGUUCUCUUCAGGCUGCUCUCCAAGACAAAAUCUGAGGCUGGCUGAGAUUUGUGCUAAUGAAAAAUGUUGCUUCAAAUCAGAAAGAGCACUGUACUGAGGAAUGGGAUUAUUUCCAAUUCGCUGUAAAACUGAAGAUGCACAAUGCGAUGGCCAGCACUGAGCUGGAAUAUGUGAACUACCAGGGUAGCACAUUAAUGAGGCAACCAAGCGAAGGUGGCACCUCUUCUGUAAAUGCAGGACUUCAGUCUGCAGUAGUUUCAUUCCAGCACCUUUCCUCACAAUAAAGGAUCCCAAGAGAGUGUACCAGAGAAGUAUAUCCCUGAAGAGGACCAGCAUCUUUUAUGUGGACCAGGAUCUAUGGGUGAGGUAACUUUCUGCCCACCAGGAUGGAGGAGAUGCUAUAAAAGGAGGAAAAGCAGACAGGGUUUUACUUCUUUUGCUCUGAGGCAGAUUUCCUGAUUUCUUGAGAGCUGUGGAGCUUUUUGUCCUUUGUCAGUUACAACCUUUUGGUAGCAACACAGGAAGGAAACCUGCCAUCUACCCAUCAGGAUGCUGUCAUCUGUCUUGUACGAUUGUAUUCAUGUCCUAAAUCCACACCACUUGCAGCUGGAGCGAUACUCUGCAGGUAACUUGUUUAGCAUCCCCGUUUCCAAGAACGCUGUGCUGAUGCUCUGAAACCUCCACAGCAAUUUACUCUUUUCCAGGUUAACUUUUAAGUGCUGAUUUUGACCCAUAUUCCUGUCCUGUCAACUUCCCUGUUCCCAUGCGAUACAACCGCAGCUGUAAUGGGGAGGGAUGGUGUGCCUGUGUCGCCAAGGACCCAGGAGCCAUGGUGGACUGGUGCCCUUCCAGCCUUUCCUCCUUGAAACAUGGUCCCUCAGCUGCAGCUCAAUAGCAAAACUAAUACCUGUUUUUAAAUAUCAAGGGCUCUCAUUGUUAAGGAGACUUUCCAUGGAGUACAUAUUUUGGUAAGAAAACUCUAAAGUUGCUGCAUGAAGUUGUGUUAAUAGACAAUAAAAUUGCAGCCGGUUCCUGGUUCUAUUUCAAAAGAUAUGUAUGAAAUUUACUGCAUAAGGGAUGUUGAGUUAAAAGUGAUCGGAGGAGUUACUUUUAUCUUGGCUCACAUACAGCAUUACAUUUACACCUGAACACAGGGUGAAUUAUCAUCCAGAGGAGUUGAGAAGGAAUCUCUUUUCUCCAGGAAUGGCAAUUAUAUUUGAUUAGGUACAUGGGAGCUUUUUCCUCUCCUGGCCAAGGAGCUGAGGGCAGUGCUUUGAAGACACCCAGCCUCAUGAUCAAGGUGUAAAGCAUAAUGACAAAUGUGAAGUUUCUGCAGGGUCAGAGGCAGCUACAAUAGUUCAGGGGAGAGGGCAUCGGACUGGGACUUAAGAGGCUUGACUUGACUGCCCUCUUCUUCCACUGGUCUGCAGGACAAAUCACUUCCUUUCUGUGCCACAGUUUCCUUAUCUGUGAAAUGGUGGUAAUGAGCCUUUCUUCUUCAUUUCUCUUUGUAAUCGCUCCAAGAGCUGCAGGUAAAACAUGCUAUACGCGCACUUGGUAUUACUGUGUUUGAUUUGUGGGAUUCUUUGUGCAAUAUCCUAGUGCAAGGAGUUGCUUCAGAUUUGCACACAGAGGCUCAAGGACCACAGUGUUUUGUCACCCUGCUGUUAACAGCUCAUCCCUGAAAUCAUUUGGAUGUACAGGCAGUGCUCUGGUUUUGUUUUUGUUAGGAUAUCUGCAGCCUGCAAUCUUAGUGCAACAGGAUCUGCAAGUCAAGCAUAGCCAUCGAACAAAAGGACCCUGAGGAGAUGUGUGUUUUUUGCAUGCUCUCCUUCACAAAAUGACCCCCGCCCCCCAUCCUUUUGCCUCUGUUCUCUGCUGGUCCCCUGUCAAGAGGCCUCCUUGCCUAUGGUCAUCAACAGUUUGCCAACAUGAUGGGGAGGGGGAGGAGGAAAAAUUUACCUUGACAUGUGUGGUAAUCUAAGCCUCAUUCCAAAUGUGUUUGCUUAAGCAUUGCUAAGGGUCUCCUCCUUCCUCCGUCAUUUCUCCCCUCAAGCUGUCUUUGUUUCAAGAUUGGAGGUGAUUGCUGGAGACGUGGGGAUUUCCAUGGCUGUGGCUGUUGUGAUCUGGGCCCUCUUUGUUUGGCGACAUGUGUGGAGUCCUGGUCACAAUCUCCUCUUGUUGGAUGAAAUACAUCAGGAUGAAGAGUCUUAAUUGUGAGGUGAUACCCCACUGAGUGUCAGAGUAGGUGGGGUGUGCAUGAUGCUCUUUAGUUUGGGUCAUUUGAAGUGAUAGAUGCAGGAGGAUGGUAGAUUUGUUCUUGCUGAAAUCUGAGAACCUGCCUGUAUCGGUGAAUGUCACCCAGUGCUCAGCAAAUGCAUUCAGAUGAAAUCAUUGAGAUCUUGGGUUUCAGGCCUAAGUGAUCACUACAGGUACUACUAGUUCCUGCCUGUGGAAUAAACAUUUGCUGAAUGCAAUUCAACAUAAUAACACUUUGUGCAGCAAGCAAUCACUCAUCACCCUCUGCCUCUUCUCACUGUUGUGACAAUCCCAACUCUAUCCAGACCACAAAUAUGUUAACCUCUCCUAGAAGUGUUUUACUAAUAAACUGCUUAACUUCACUUUCUUUGACCAGAAGUCAGGGUGCAUUACUUUCCUAUUAAAUGUAUUUGAUUUUACUGGGCUGUUUUUUCUGUCUGUUCUCUGGAGAUAGUGAAGGGUGCUAACGGGAGAUGCAGGAUGUAGUCUUUCCACUAACAAGUCAUGCAGGUAGUGCUUGGUGAUGCCAGUGACCUGCAAAAUGGCCUUGGACAGGUCACUUUUUUUGUUUUCUCCCCUUCCCUAUUGCUCCAGCUCAUCUGUUGAACACUGUCAGUAAUUUGGGGCAAGAUCUGUACAACGUAUACCCUUUAUAAAGAGCUGCAGGCUCUAAUGAAAUGAGUCUUUUAGUGGUUGAUCAAUUUGCAGAAGGUAUUGCUGUUAUCUGUACUUUUUCUUCACAGAAAGCAUCAAUUGCAGAGCAAGGACUGGAGCCAAAUCUCUUGACUCCUGGCCCAGUAUCCCAUCUGGAAUGGGACCUUGUUCUAGAGUUGGAGCUCCAUGACACUAUUAUGUAUUUGUGCAACAGGACUAUUCACGAUAACCUUUGGCUGUGAAGACCCAGGAAAGUGCUCGCUGCAGGAGUCAUCCAGCUGAAACCCCAGAGUUCGGCUUGCUUCCCUCUGAGUUUUGAAGACUGCGACUUUAAUUAGGAGGUGCCUUUGAUGGGAUCCACUAACACCUUUCCUCCUGGAGGACAGAAGUCAGACUUGUGGCUAGCAGGAGAUGGACUGUGAAAGCCAAGAGACUCCAACUAUAGCCUAGCUGAAGGUUUUGCAUUGGAAAACCAUAAAGAAGGGGACAGUGUCAUCCUG